Long non-coding RNA from Cyprinus carpio carpio, 1510 nucleotides. NCBI's taxonomy places the organism in Eukaryota, Metazoa, Chordata, Actinopteri, Cypriniformes, Cyprinidae. The record is from Ensembl.
AGGAACAAGAAAACCGAGAGAGAAUUUACCAUAACGCACUCAAAGUUUUUAUGUUUGAUUUUCAGUUCAAUGGACAACAGUUAUGUGUGGAUGCUGCCAGAGAGGAUGGAUCACUAGGGAGACUGGUAAAUGACGACGAAGUGAACCCAAACAGCAAAAUUAAAGUUACAAGAGUGGAUGGAAGACCCCAUCUGUGUUUAUUCGCAAUCAAAGAUAUUGGUUCAGGGGAAGAAAUCACUUAUAACUAUGGUAAUUCGGAUUGGCCAUGGAGAAGCAAGGUAGUUAUAUAAAGUUUAUAUAAAGUUAUCUUAAGUAGAAAUAGUAGUAUAGAGUGGUUAAAGGGGUCAUAUAAUGGUAUGUUUUUUCCAGUCAGAUUUGAGCCGUUCGACCUAGUGACAUCACUUUAUCGGACGCCACUCUCACGAUUGAUAAUUGACAAGAUGAGACUUAUUUAGACUUGACUAUUUCAACUUGUUCAGUCCUAUUCAAAAUGUUAGAAACUGACAAGUAAACAGAUUUCUGUUGACCUUAUUUAUCAAUAUAAACUAAUAUGAGGUAUAUCUUGAAGUGUCUAAACUCAUAGGUCCUGUGUAAUCCUCACCAUGUAAGGUUCAGACAUUAGCAGGUCUGUUAGUUUUGUGCAUUAGAUAUGAACUCAUGAGAAUGAUAUUAAGUAGUAGUAUUGAGACGCACGGUCCUGUGUAACCAUUAAGGUACAAACUCUCGAUGACUUUUCGUCUCUUGAUUAGUUUAGACUUCCAAAGAGAUGCCAUGUCAGGCUGCUGAUGUGGACAAAUGCAGUUCCUUUGCAGUCAUUCCAAAGACUUCCAAAGAGAAGCCAUGUCAGGCUGCUGAUGUGGACAAAUGCAGUUCCUUUGCAGUCAUUCCAAAGACUUCCAAAGAGAUGCCAUGUCAGGCUGCUGAUGUGGACAAAUGCAGUUCCUUUGCAGUCAUUCCAAAGACUUCCAAAGAGAUGCCAUGUCAGGCUGCUGAUGUGGACAAAUGCAGUUCCUUUGCAGUCAUUCCAAAGACUUCCAAAGAGAAGCCAUGUCAGGCUGCUGAUGUGGACAAAUGCAGUUCCUUUGCAGUCAUUCCAAAGACUUCCAAAGAGAUGCCAUGUCAGGCUGCUGAUGUGGACAAAUGCAGUUCCUUUGCAGUCAUUCCAAAGACUUCCAAAGAGAUGCCAUGUCAGGCUGCUGAUGUGGACAAAUGCAGUUCCUUUGCAGUCAUUCCAAAGACUUCCAAAGAGAUGCCGUGUCAGGCUGCUGAUGUGGACAAAUGCAGUUCCUUUGCAGUCAUUCCAAAGACUUCCAAAGAGAUGCCGUGUCAGGCUGCUGAUGUGGACAAAUGCAGUUCCUUUGCAGUCAUUCCAAAGACUUCCAAAGAGAAGCCAUGUCAGGCUGCUGAUGUGGACAAAUGCAGUUCCUUUGCAGUCAUUCCAAAGGACUGUGUUCAUGAUCUUGUCCCUGAAGAAAUGUCAAGUUUAGAAAAAUGUGUCACAUGUGGCGGA